GAUGAACGCUGGCGGCGUGCUUAACACAUGCCAGUCGAACGAUGAAGCCCAGCUUGCUGGGUGGAUUAGUGGCGAACGGGUGAGUAACACGUGAGUAACCUGCCCUUAACUCUGGGAUAAGCCUGGGAAACUGGGUCUAAUACCGGAUAGGAGCGUCCACCGCAGGGUGGGUGUUGGAAAGAUUUAUCGGUUUUGGAUGGACUCGCGGCCUAUCAGCUUGUUGGUGAGGUAAUGGCUCACCAAGGCGACGACGGGUAGCCGGCCUGAGAGGGUGACCGGCCACACUGGGACUGAGACACGGCCCAGACUCCUACGGGAGGCAGCAGUGGGGAAUAUUGCACAAUGGGCGCAAGCCUGAUGCAGCGACGCCGCGUGAGGGAUGACGGCCUUCGGGUUGUAAACCUCUUUCAGUAGGGAAGAAGCGAAAGUGACGGUACCUGCAGAAGAAGCACCGGCUAACUACGUG
RNAcentral lists this ribosomal RNA (466 nucleotides) under uncultured bacterium. Its description in RNAcentral is "partial 16S ribosomal RNA". It matches the Rfam family "Bacterial small subunit ribosomal RNA", at positions 28 to 507 of the family's 1533-position model. The record is from RNAcentral.